This 870-nucleotide ribosomal RNA is filed under the name uncultured archaeon. RNAcentral's name for it is "bacterial SSU rRNA". It matches the Rfam family "Archaeal small subunit ribosomal RNA", at positions 5 to 879 of the family's 1478-position model. The record is from RNAcentral.
CGGUUGAUCCUGCCGGAGGUCACUGCUAUUGGGAUUCGACUAAGCCAUGCGAGUCGAGAGGGUUCGGCCCUCGGCAAACUGCUCAGUAACACGUGGAUAAUCUGCCCNUNAGGUGGAGGAUAACCUUGGGAAACUGAGAAUAAUACUCCAUAGAUCUACGAUGUUGGAAUACACAUAGAUUGAAAGUUCCGACGCCUAAGGAUGAGUCUGCGGACUAUCAGGUUGUAGUCAGGGUAAGGACCUGACUAGCCUACAACGGAUACGGGUUGUGAGAGCAAUAACCCGGAGACGAUAUCUGAGACACGAUAUCGGGCCCUACGGGGCGCAGCAGGCGCGAAACCUUCACAAUGUGCGAAAGCGCGAUGAGGGGAUCCCAAGUGCUUGCACUUAAGUGUAAGCUGUUUCUUUGUUUAAAAUGCAGAGAGAGUAAGGGCUGGGUAAGACGGGUGCCAGCCGCCGCGGUAAUACCUGCAGCUCAAGUGGUGACCGCUAUUAUUGGGCCUAAAACGUCCGUAGCCUGCUGAGUAAAUGCUUGGGUAAAUCGUGCCGCUUAACGGUACGAAUUCCGGGUAGACUGCUCAGCUUGAGACCGGGAGAAGCUAGAGGUACUCCUGGGGUAGAGGUGAAAUUCUGUAAUCCUGGGGGGACCACCAGUGGCGAAGGCGUCUAGCUAGAACGGGUCUGACGGUGAGGGACGAAACCCUGGGGCGCGAACCGGAUUAGAUACCCGGGUAGUCCAGGGCGCAAACGCUGCUUGCUUGAUGUUAGCUGGGCUCCGAGCUCAGCUAGUGUCGGAGAGAAGUUGUUAAGCAAGCUGCCUGGGAAGUACGAUCGCAAGAUUGAAACUUAAAGGAAUUGGCGGGGGAGCAC